This 911-nucleotide ribosomal RNA is filed under the name Gymnascella citrina. RNAcentral's name for it is "LSU rRNA". It matches the Rfam family "Eukaryotic large subunit ribosomal RNA", at positions 38 to 964 of the family's 3401-position model. The record is from RNAcentral. Lineage: Eukaryota; Fungi; Ascomycota; Eurotiomycetes; Onygenales; Gymnoascaceae.
GCAUAUCAAUAAGCGGAGGAAAAGAAACCAACAGGGAUUGCCUCAGUAACGGCGAGUGAAGCGGCAAAAGCUCAAAUUUGAAAUCUGGCCCUCUCRGGGUCCGAGUUGUAAUUUGCAGAGGAUGYUUCGGGAGCGGCGGCGGUUUAAGUCCCCUGGAACGGGGCGUCGCAGAGGGUGAGAAUCCCGUCUUGGACCGCCAGCCCGUGACCGUGUGAAGCUCCUUCGACGAGUCGAGUUGUUUGGGAAUGCAGCUCAAAAUGGGUGGUAAAUUUCAUCUAAAGCUAAAUACUGGCUGGAGACCGAUAGCGCACAAGUAGAGUGAUCGAAAGGUUAAAAGCACCUUGAAAAGGGAGUUAAAUAGCACGUGAAAUUGUUGAAAGGGAAGCGCUUGCAACCAGACUCGGCCGCAGAGGCUCAGUGGGCACGUGUGCCCAUGCACUCCUCUGCGGGCGGGCCAGCAUCAGUUCUGACGGCCGGUCAAAGGCCCCUGGAAUGUAUCCUCCUCCGGGAGGCCUUAUAGCCAGGGGUGCAAUGCGGCCAGUCGGGACUGAGGAACGCGCUUCGGCACGGAUGCUGGCGUAAUGGUUGUAAGCGACCCGUCUUGAAACACGGACCAAGGAGUCUAACAUCCACGCGAGUGUUAGGGUGUCAAACCCUUGCGCGCAGUGAAAGCGAACGGAGGUGAGAUCCCCGCAAGGGGCGCAUCAUCGACCGAUCCAGAAGUCUUCGGAUGGAUUUGAGUAAGAGCGUGGCUGUUAGGACCCGAAAGAUGGUGAACUAUGCCUGAAUAGGGUGAAGCCAGAGGAAACUCUGGUGGAGGCUCGCAGCGGUUCUGACGUGCAAAUCGAUCGUCAAAUUUGGGCAUAGCGGCGAAAGACUAAUCGAACCAUCUAGUAGCUGUUUCCUGCCGA